AAGAACAAACACGUAGGUUUUUAGGCAAAAGCGAGGAAUAGAUCAAUUAAAAAUUAAAAAAUAUAGAAAAAAAUAAAAAUAAAAAAUAAAAAAGGCAUUUGAACAUAUUAAUUUAAAAAUACUGAUACAAAAGAUAUUACCCCUCGGUUGGCCAUGAAACCAAGGAAAUAUACAAAUUAAAAAAAUUAAUAAAAGAAUGCAUUUGAAAAUAUUAAAU
This 217-nucleotide long non-coding RNA is filed under the name Lathyrus oleraceus (garden pea). RNAcentral's name for it is "Pisum sativum (pea) long non-coding RNA (PSAT_LNC020020)". Lineage: Eukaryota; Viridiplantae; Streptophyta; Magnoliopsida; Fabales; Fabaceae. The record is from RNAcentral.